CGCCAAUCUAGCUCCGGAUUGUGGCCUUCUUGGCUUUCCAUAUCUCCUCUCCGGACCCGGUAGCGCUAGUGACGUCACUCUUGAGCCGGGCCGGUCGGGACUGCUCACCUGCUCGGUCCACAACAACGUGAGCCACGCCGCGGCUAACAUCACCUUGUCUAUGUGUGACGACCGCACCCCGUUCAUCGCUCGUUCUCUGACGGUGGUGCUGCUGCUCCUAGCAGCAUUGGGAGUCUACUGGGCACUAAAGAAGAAGAAAACCUCCAGACCUCGAGACAUCGCGCUGUCCUCCAUGGCAGUAGAUGAUGG
This is a long non-coding RNA of Gadus morhua (Atlantic cod), 309 nucleotides long. RefSeq lists it as uncharacterized. Lineage: Eukaryota; Metazoa; Chordata; Actinopteri; Gadiformes; Gadidae. The transcript is spliced from 3 exons. The record is from RefSeq and is a predicted model, not a curated record.